AUCCAGCUGACGAGUACCACAUAGGACGAAACACGCGUCCUGGAU
This is a non-coding RNA of Schistosoma margrebowiei, 45 nucleotides long. Lineage: Eukaryota; Metazoa; Platyhelminthes; Trematoda; Strigeidida; Schistosomatidae. The record is from Rfam.